UAGAAAAUUUCUCUUAAUCGAAACAUUAGAAUUUUUUUUUCUACCAAAUUUCCUCGUGUUUCUCCAGAAAAUUUGAGAUUGCUCAAAAUUUCAGAGUUUUGUGGCAGAAAUGUACAACUUACUACUUAAAACUUUUCGCAUGUUUGCUGUGUUAAGAGAAAGACAUCUAUGUUCAGUUUCUUUUGGCCUCGACUGAAUAAAUUUAUUUUCAGGAGUAGGAACAGGAUUUGCAUCGAAAUGCUCACUAUCCUGAGCCAAGUUUACUAAAGAAUAAAAGCUGACUUGGGUGCAGCAAAGUUGGCUUUUCAGUAAAAGUCUCUUGGUUUUAACUUUUGUUCAAAUUUGGUUAUAAAAACACAAAUACUUUGUGUUGUACUUUACAUUUUCCUGCAUAGGAAAACUAUGUUGGAAACAAUUUUUUUACAAAUUAAAGUCUCCAUUUGCAUCUACGGGCCAAAUUGGAAUUAUUUUAAUUGCAGUUGGAGGCCGCACAAAGUCAGUUCAAGGGCCACAGCUUGGAUUAAGCUGAAAACACACCAGGUCCAUUUAGGCAUCCGUUCUGCUAGAUGAUCGGGUUGUGUGAUGUGUGCAUUAAUCACAACACAUUCAUGUCAAUGGAGCCUCGCAGAUCACAAUACUUCCCUGUGACAGCUUCUCUGACUGUGCAACCAAGACAGACCUGAAAGGCUGCUGGUUCAGAGCUGUGCAGCAUUGACGGGAUUGUCACGAAUGUCACGGAUCCUCAAUUUCGGGAGUCCAAAGAGGGACUGUCGUGUCUGAAAACAACAGUUGAAAGCCAUAAGAAAUUCUGUUUGCUGUUCCCCACAAGACAUAUGUGACAGUAAACAUGGAAGAAUUUGUCCUGUCCAGGUGAGAAGUUAGUGGACCAGUUUGACCCACAGGCACAAUACUAUGUGUGUUGGAAAGUAAGUAGAAUAAUGCACAUCACUCUAAACACAAACCUCCAGCAGUAAGGUGAAAUAUGGUGCAAUAAUAAAUGAAUUCACAUUAUUCUUUUCAAAGUAAGAAAAAAAAAAAACAUUGGCUUGUUAUUGUAACUUGCCAUGUUAAACUAAAGAUCAAGGAACUCAUGACUCAUUAUUGUUUUGAUGUUUAAAAGAUGUGCUGUGCCUGUGAGCCUUUCAAAGAAAGUGUUCACUUGCUAAUACCUUUUUCUUUCAGUCGAUGCGCAACGGGAUCAAUCAUUCGUAACCAUCAUAACGUUCAAGCACCUACAUGGUUAUGGGUCCCAUCGGUCACGUCAGUAACUGAUUUAUAGAACCCACUGCUUUCCCUCGCUGACAUGUUUUGAGCUACAGGAAUAGCUCCUCGUGAGCCCGCGGGCCGCUGUGGGAAAACGAAAUCAGCGUCGCAAAGGAAAUGACAGAUGAGUUCAUGGUCUGCUUAUUGCUAACAUCUACCCCAGCGAUGAAAAAUAAUGAAAACUGAGAAAGUAAACAAAUUCAGCAGCUGAGAAAGCAUACUUAAUUUUGCAUGCAUGAGCAUUACUCCAAAUAUUAUACGGAGCUGAUCUAGUUAUCAAAACACGGAAUCAAAUUUCUUUGCGCGAUGUUGAGCUGUCUGCAUGAAGCAGGAAAUGGCCAAUUUGCUAAAGCCUGGGAAUUUGAAUAAGACAAACCAUGACAUCUCUGGUUUGGAUGAAUCUUAAUGGUGUGGACUGGAGGAAAGGCACUGACAAUGCCUCACAUCUCUGAAUAUAGCGGUACUGACUGACUUCAGUGUGUGUACUUGUGAGAUACUGGUGGAGGAAAUUUGAACUUUAUUUGUAAAAAAAAAAAGAAAAAAAAGGAACUAGGCAUCAAAUUCCAGCCUGAGUUUUUCUACAUGAAGUUUACAUGUUCUCCUUAUGCAUGAGUGGGUUCUCUCUAGGUACUCCAGCUUCCUCCCACAAACCAAAAACAUGACUGUUCGCAUAAUUGGUGUGGGUGUGCAUGGUUGUUUGCUUCUUGCUCACUGACUACUAGAGAUGGGGACCUGUGAUCCACCCUUGAAUGCAGAAGGAGGUAAGACGGGUUUGGAGGUGGCAACCUGGAGCCUGAAUCCUGGACAGGUUGUAGGUUCGAAGAUCUGAGGAGUGGGACGAUGGAACAGAGGAGAGUGAAGUCCUGGGGAUGCUUGAGCGGCAGUGGAUCGACCCAAAGAGUGGAGGGUACAAGGUUGUGCUCAUGUACCGGCACAACAACGUCAGGACUCCGCUGACGCCCGUGAUGCCCGUCCUCCUGUGCAACAGAACACGCCCGCUGCAUCAGGACAUCUUGUUGCCUGGCGUGACUGUUAGUCUGCGUGUGCAAGUCAAGAGGGGGAAGACGGGGAAGGCUGAUGCGUCGAUUACAGUCAGUUCAGCACAUGAUUGCAACAAAUUAAUGGACGAGGUGUACAGUACUGAAACUCUGGCGCUGACGACAGCAGUGGUAGGAAUGACUGGGACGCAGAGUUGGACUAUUAUUGGUUUUGUUUGCUCCAGAUUUACAGCACUGGCCAAUUUCCUGUCCCGCGUUAUCUGAUCGCCUGCGCCGGGCGAUCGGGCAGGACGUCGCUCAGCAGACCGAUCAGUAGGGGGAAAAAAAACUAGUCAUGAUGUGUGAGUGAAUUAUGAAACACAUGAAUGUCUUAUUGGUAGUUCUGUAACCGGGUGGAUGAUUGGAUAAGGAGGAAGAAAAUAGAUUUAUGCAGCUAAAUAUGGCUGCAUGGAUGAAUGACCUCACUAAGAUGUGCUCUACAUAUCCACGACUUGUAUGAAACUAUUAGUAGAGAAUAUAAACCACUCUGAUGGAGAAAUGAUGGCAGCUGUAAUUUUUUUUAAUUCUUGGCCUCUUGCAGAAACAUAAACAGCUUAAAGAGGAAAACCAACUAUAACUAUAGAAACCAGUUAUUUCCAGCUCAACUACUUUCCGGAGUGAAUUGUUAAAAACAUUUCACUCUUUUAUUAUUUCUUUAUAACUGUUACACAAAUGUGGAGACAUUGAUGCCCUAUGGCUAAAAUUGGAUAAAAAAGGACUCUUCACUUUUUAAUUUUCAAACCACCAUUCAUCCAGUGUAGAAUCAUGUCACUAAAAAUAACCGCGUUGACCUCAAUUGCUGUGAUUUUACUUAAGUUUUUUAAGUUGAUUUGCGCUCAUGACACAGAGGCCAAUUUCUUUGUUUAUUUUGCCACCAUUCACUAGCCAUGUUUCACGUUAUCAUAAAAUGUUAUUGGGUUGAUGUAAAUGUUUUGGACCAGUGAUCCGGCUCUUUGGAUAUUCAACACGGUGCUGUAAUUUUGUGAUAACUCCACAUUAUUUUCUGUUUUAGUCUUGUACUUGUAUUAUUAUUAUUGCUAUUAUCAUUGUUAUUGUUAUAAUUGGUUUUUACAAGUUUUUAUGUUAUUUUUGUGUGAACCUUUAUACCUGAUCCUGCUGUUGAAUUUCCCCUCCGCGGGACAAUAAAGGUUGUUUUUAAAUUCUGAUGUAGUGAAUUCACUCAUCCAUUGGUG
This is a long non-coding RNA of Gambusia affinis (western mosquitofish), 3493 nucleotides long. RefSeq lists it as uncharacterized. The transcript is spliced from 3 exons. NCBI's taxonomy places the organism in Eukaryota, Metazoa, Chordata, Actinopteri, Cyprinodontiformes, Poeciliidae. The record is from RefSeq and is a predicted model, not a curated record.